This 253-nucleotide long non-coding RNA is filed under the name Citrus sinensis (sweet orange). Its description in RNAcentral is "long non-coding RNA (CSIN_LNC004394)". The record is from RNAcentral. Lineage: Eukaryota; Viridiplantae; Streptophyta; Magnoliopsida; Sapindales; Rutaceae.
AAGCAUAUAUUUAAUCGAAUAUUAAUCCUAACAAUCAAUAAUGCAUGACAGAAUUGAUGAAAAGAUUUUACUAACAUCCAAUUAAUCAUGUGAAAUAAAAAUCAUAAUCAUCAAAGAACAUAUAUAGGGAAUUAAAUAAAUAAAAAGAUAAUUAUUUCAUUGAAUAGAGUUUCAUCAUUAACCUCAGUAUAAGAAAAUUAGCUAGACAUACUUGAAUUGGGAGCAACAAAAUAAAUAAAUUCAGCCAUGGGAA